AUUGAACGCUGGCGGCAGGCCUAACACAUGCAAGUCGAGCGGAUGAAGGGAGCUUGCUCCUGGAUUCAGCGGCGGACGGGUGAGUAAUGCCUAGGAAUCUGCCUGGUAGUGGGGGAUAACGUCCGGAAACGGGCGCUAAUACCGCAUACGUCCUGAGGGAGAAAGUGGGGGAUCUUCGGACCUCACGCUAUCAGAUGAGCCUAGGUCGGAUUAGCUAGUUGGUGGGGUAAAGGCCUACCAAGGCGACGAUCCGUAACUGGUCUGAGAGGAUGAUCAGUCACACUGGAACUGAGACACGGUCCAGACUCCUACGGGAGGCAGCAGUGGGGAAUAUUGGACAAAGGGCGAAGGCCUGAUCCAGCCAUGCCGCGUGUGUGAAGAAGGUCUUCGGAUUGUAAAGCACUUUAAGUUGGGAGGAAGGGCAGUAUGUUAAUACCUUGCUGUUUUGACGUUACCAACAGAAUAAGCACCGGCUAACUUCGUG
RNAcentral lists this ribosomal RNA (484 nucleotides) under uncultured bacterium. RNAcentral describes it as "partial 16S ribosomal RNA". It matches the Rfam family "Bacterial small subunit ribosomal RNA", at positions 30 to 507 of the family's 1533-position model. The record is from RNAcentral.